RNAcentral lists this ribosomal RNA (548 nucleotides) under uncultured bacterium. RNAcentral describes it as "bacterial SSU rRNA". It matches the Rfam family "Bacterial small subunit ribosomal RNA", at positions 38 to 634 of the family's 1533-position model. The record is from RNAcentral.
GGCGGCGUGCUUACACAUGCAAGUCGAACGAACCUUCGGGUUAGUGGCGGACGGGUGAGUAACGCGUGAGAAUCUGCCCUCAGGAGGGGGAUAACGGUUGGAAACGACCGCUAAUACCCCAUAUGCCUAUUGGUGAAAUGAAUUUCGCCUGAGGAUGAGCUCGCGUCUGAUUAGCUAGUUGGUGAGGUAAUGGCUCACCAAGGCUUCGAUCAGUAGCUGGUCUGAGAGGAUGAUCAGCCACACUGGGACUGAGACACGGCCCAGACUCCUACGGGAGGCAGCAGUGGGGAAUUUUCCGCAAUGGGCGAAAGCCUGACGGAGCAACGCCGCGUGAGGGACGAAGGCCUCUGGGCUGUAAACCUCUUUUCUCAAGGAAGAAGAUAUGACGGUACUUGAGGAAUAAGCCACGGCUAAUUCCGUGCCAGCAGCCGCGGUAAUACGGGAGUGGCAAGCGUUAUCCGGAAUUAUUGGGCGUAAAGCGUCCGCAGGCGGCUUUUCAAGUCUGCUGUUAAAACGUGGAGCUUAACUCCAUCAUGGCAGUGGAAACU